RNAcentral lists this ribosomal RNA (253 nucleotides) under uncultured bacterium. Its description in RNAcentral is "partial 16S ribosomal RNA". It matches the Rfam family "Bacterial small subunit ribosomal RNA", at positions 524 to 776 of the family's 1533-position model. The record is from RNAcentral.
UACGUAGGUGGCAAGCGUUGUCCGGAAUUACUGGGUGUAAAGGGAGCGCAGGCGGGAAGCCAAGUCAGCUGUGAAAACUACGGGCUUAACUUGUAGACUGCAGUUGAAACUGGUUUUCUUGAGUGAAGUAGAGGUUGGCGGAAUUCCGAGUGUAGCGGUGAAAUGCGUAGAUAUCCGGAGGAACACCGGUGGCGAAGGCGGCCAACUGGGCUUUAACUGACGCUGAGGCUCGAAAGUGUGGGGAGCAAACAGG